Molecule: ribosomal RNA, 253 nt
Filed under: uncultured bacterium
Lineage: Bacteria
Description: partial 16S ribosomal RNA
Rfam family: Bacterial small subunit ribosomal RNA
Source: RNAcentral
UACGAAGGGUGCAAGCGUUACUCGGAAUUACUGGGCGUAAAGCGUGCGUAGGUGGUUUGUUAAGUCUGCUGUGAAAGCCCCGGGCUCAACCUGGGAAUGGCAGUGGAUACUGGCAAGCUAGAGUGCGGUAGAGGGGUGUGGAAUUCCCGGUGUAGUGGUGGAAUGCGUAGAUAUCGGGAGGAACACCAGUGGCGAAGGCGGUUGCCUGGAGCUUUGCUGACGCUGAUGCGCGAAAGCGUGGGGAGCGAUCCGG